GCAGGCUGCAACUCGCCUGCACGAAGUCGGAAUUGCUAGUAAUCAUAGGUCAGCACACUAUGGUGAAUACGUUCCCGGGCCUUGUACACACCGCCCGUCACACCAUGAGAGUUGAGAAUACCCGAAGUCCAUGUUAAAGUGGCCGAAGGUAGGCUUGAUGAUUGGGGUGAAGUCGUAACAAGGUACC
RNAcentral lists this ribosomal RNA (187 nucleotides) under uncultured bacterium. RNAcentral describes it as "partial 16S ribosomal RNA". It matches the Rfam family "Bacterial small subunit ribosomal RNA", at positions 1300 to 1500 of the family's 1533-position model. The record is from RNAcentral.